RNAcentral lists this ribosomal RNA (392 nucleotides) under uncultured bacterium. Its description in RNAcentral is "bacterial SSU rRNA". It matches the Rfam family "Bacterial small subunit ribosomal RNA", at positions 28 to 424 of the family's 1533-position model. The record is from RNAcentral.
GAUGAACGCUGGCGGCAUGCCUUACACAUGCAAGUCGAACGGCAGCACGGGAGCAAUCCUGGUGGCGAGUGGCGAACGGGUGAGUAAUAUAUCGGAACGUGCCCGGUCGUGGGGAUAACGUAGCGAAAGCUACGCUAAUACCGCAUACGAUCUACGGAUGAAAGCGGGGGAUCGCAAGACCUCGCGCGAUUGGAGCGGCCGAUAUCAGAUUAGGUAGUUGGUGAGGUAAAGGCUCACCAAGCCGACGAUCUGUAGCUGGUCUGAGAGGACGACCAGCCACACUGGGACUGAGACACGGCCCAGACUCCUACGGGAGGCAGCAGUGGGGAAUUUUGGACAAUGGGCGCAAGCCUGAUCCAGCAAUGCCGCGUGCAGGAUGAAGGCCUCGGGUU